This 254-nucleotide ribosomal RNA is filed under the name uncultured bacterium. RNAcentral's name for it is "partial 16S ribosomal RNA". It matches the Rfam family "Bacterial small subunit ribosomal RNA", at positions 524 to 776 of the family's 1533-position model. The record is from RNAcentral.
UACGUAGGGUGCAAGCGUUGUCCGGAAUUAUUGGGCGUAAAGAGCUCGUAGGCGGUUUGUCGCGUCUGCUGUGAAAACCCGAGGCUCAACCUCGGGCCUGCAGUGGGUACGGGCAGGCUGGAGUUCGGUAGGGGAGACUGGAAUUCCUGGUGUAGCGGUGAAAUGCGCAGAUAUCAGGAGGAACACCGAUGGCGAAGGCAGCCCCCUGGGCCAAUACUGACGCUCAUGCACGAAAGCGUGGGGGAGCAAACAGG